AGGAUUAACGCUGGCGGCGUGCAUGAAACAUGCAAGUCGAGCGCGGUGUGAUGCGGGGUAACCCAAUUCACAUCUAGCGGCGAACGGGUGAGUAACACGUGAGCAACCUACCUUUGAGUUGGGGAUAGCCCUGGGAAACCAGGAUUAAUACCCGAUGUGGUCACAACAGGACAUCCUGAUGUGAGUAAAGGCGCAAGCCGCUCAAUGACGGGCUCGCGGCCUAUUAGCUUGUUGGUGGGGUAACGGCCUACCAAGGCGAUGAUGGGUAGCUGGUCUGAGAGGACGAUCAGCCACACUGGGACUGAGACACGGCCCAGACUCCUACGGGAGGCAGCAGUUAGGAAUUUUCCGCAAUGGGCGAAAGCCUGACGGAGCAACGCCGCGUGAGUGAUGAAGACCUUCGGGUUGUAAAGCUCUGUCGGAGGGGAAGAACACAAUGACGGUACCUCCAAGAAAGCCCGACUAACUACGUGCCAGCAGCCGCGGUAAUCUGA
RNAcentral lists this ribosomal RNA (494 nucleotides) under uncultured bacterium. RNAcentral describes it as "SSU rRNA". It matches the Rfam family "Bacterial small subunit ribosomal RNA", at positions 26 to 528 of the family's 1533-position model. The record is from RNAcentral.